AGUGGGGAAUAUUGGACAAUGGGCGCAAGCCUGAUCCAGCAAUACCGCGUGUGUGAAGAAGGCCUGAGGGUUGUAAAGCACUUUCAAUAGUGAGGAAUACCUGGAUAUUAAUAGUAUCCAGACUGACAUUAACUAUAGAAGAAGCACCGGCUAACUCCGUGCCAGCAGCCGCGGUAAUACGGAGGGUGCAAGCGUUAAUCGGAAUUACUGGGCGUAAAGCGUACGUAGGCGGUUCGUUAAGUUAGAUGUGAAAGCCCCGGGCUUAACCUGGGAACUGCAUUUAAAACUGGCGAACUAGAGUUGAGUAGAGGGGAGUGGAAUUUCAGGUGUAGCGGUGAAAUGCGUAGAGAUCUGAAGGAACACCAGUGGCGAAGGCGACUCCCUGGACUCAAACUGACGCUGAGGUACGAAAGCGUGGGUAGCAAACGGGAUUAGAUACCCCGGUAGUCCACGCCGUAAACGAUGUCAACUAACUGUUGGAACCUUAAAGGUUUUAGUGGUGGAGCU
This 507-nucleotide ribosomal RNA is filed under the name uncultured bacterium. RNAcentral's name for it is "bacterial SSU rRNA". It matches the Rfam family "Bacterial small subunit ribosomal RNA", at positions 353 to 853 of the family's 1533-position model. The record is from RNAcentral.